Molecule: ribosomal RNA, 376 nt
Filed under: uncultured bacterium
Lineage: Bacteria
Description: partial 16S ribosomal RNA
Rfam family: Bacterial small subunit ribosomal RNA
Source: RNAcentral
CCUACGGGGGACUGCAGUAGGGAAUAUUGCUCAAUGGGGGAAACCCUGAAGCAGCAACGCCGCGUGGAGGAUGAAGGUUUUCUGAUUGUAAACUCCUUUUGUUAGAGAAGAUAAUGACGGUAUCUAACUCAUACGCACCGGCUCACUCCGUGCCAGCAGCCGCGGUAAUACGGAGGGUGCAAGCGUUACUCGGAUUCAGUGGGCGUAAAGAGCGCGUAGGCGGGAUAGUAAGUCAGAGGUGAAAUCCUAUGGCUUAACCAUAGAACUGCAUUUGAAACUGUUAGGCUAGAGUAUAGGCGGGGUAGGUGGAAUGCAUGGUGUAGCGGUAAAAUGCGUAGAGAUCAAAAGGAACACUGAUUGCGAAGGCGACCUGCCA